AUAGAGGUAGUCUACACCAGACAUCUGACUUCGACUCAGAAAACCUUAUUAACCUAAGCCUCUAAA
This 66-nucleotide transfer RNA is filed under the name Acrochordus granulatus (little file snake). RNAcentral's name for it is "tRNA-Arg". The record is from RNAcentral. Lineage: Eukaryota; Metazoa; Chordata; Lepidosauria; Squamata; Acrochordidae.